Molecule: ribosomal RNA, 380 nt
Filed under: Haemophilus influenzae PittII
Lineage: Bacteria; Pseudomonadati; Pseudomonadota; Gammaproteobacteria; Pasteurellales; Pasteurellaceae
Description: bacterial LSU rRNA
Rfam family: Bacterial large subunit ribosomal RNA
Source: RNAcentral
UCCUGGGGCUGAAGUAGGUCCCAAGGGUAUGGCUGUUCGCCAUUUAAAGUGGUACGCGAGCUGGGUUUAGAACGUCGUGAGACAGUUCGGUCCCUAUCUGCCGUGGGCGUAGGAUGAUUGAUUGGGGCUGCUCCUAGUACGAGAGGACCGGAGUGGACGCAUCACUGGUGUUCCAGUUGUCUCGCCAGAGGCAUUGCUGGGUAGCUAAAUGCGGAAGAGAUAAGUGCUGAAAGCAUCUAAGCACGAAACUUGCCAAGAGAUGAGUCAUCCCUGACUUUAAGUCAGUAAGGGUUGUUGUAGACUACGACGUAGAUAGGUCUGGUGUGUAAGUGUAGUGAUACAUUGAGCUAACAGAUACUAAUUGCCCGAGAGGCUUAACU